CUAGAGGCCACCUCUGAGGGAAACAGGACUCAAACUUGGCUUUUGACUUGGGGAACAUCCAGAAGAGUCCAAGCUCCUGUGUGCUCAGUGUGUAACUUUGUCUAAAAAAAAAUAGAAAAAGAAAACAGAAUGUGUUUUUUUAGCUACUGAGACUUUAAAUUUGUUAUAACUGGGCGGGGGGGGGGAUUCAUUUCAACUUCAUUUCUAAAAUGAGUUAAGCACUGAUUAUAAAUAGAAAAACUUCCUCAAAUGGAAAACAUUACAACUAGAUUUUACUUUUAUAUAUAUUUUGUGGAUUUUUCAUUAUAGGUUCUGGUUGCAGAAGGUGCCGAGAUACAAGAUCUGACAUAGUUAAUUUAUUGUGCUCUGUAUACAGCGGGGAAAAGAAUUCUCAAGCAAGCUAUCCCUGAGCCACUUACCUGAAUUGGAUUGAAUUUUCCCCAAAGCAGCGUUCGUUCCACAGGCCUUCAGGCCUCCAAGCAGAACUUGCCAUUUGAGUGGGGCCAAGCAGGAAACACAAAGCUGGAAUUUUCUCCCGAAGUUAAUCUGCCAAGGAGCUAAAGUAAGUUCGUGGUCUGAGGUGUUUGCCUCACCCCAGUCUUGAAGUUUGUCCUUCAGCUGCGCUUGUC
Molecule: long non-coding RNA, 629 nt
Filed under: Sus scrofa (pig)
Lineage: Eukaryota; Metazoa; Chordata; Mammalia; Artiodactyla; Suidae
Description: lncRNA (ENSSSCG00070019737.1)
Source: RNAcentral